GGGUACCUACGGGGCGCAGCAGUGGGGAAUAUUGCACAAUGGGGGAAACCCUGAUGCAGCAACGCCGCGUGAGUGAAGAAGGUUUUCGGAUUGUAAAGCUCUGUUAGCAGGGAAGAGGAAGGACGGUACCUGCAGAGGAAGCCACGGCUAACUACGUGCCAGCAGCCGCGGUAAUACGUAGGUGGCAAGCGUUGUCCGGAUUUACUGGGUGUAAAGGGCGUGCAGCCGGAGAGACAAGUCAGAUGUGAAAUCCACGGGCUCAACCCGUGAACUGCAUUUGAAACUGUUUCUCUUGAGUGUCGGAG
Molecule: ribosomal RNA, 305 nt
Filed under: uncultured bacterium
Lineage: Bacteria
Description: bacterial SSU rRNA
Rfam family: Bacterial small subunit ribosomal RNA
Source: RNAcentral